Molecule: non-coding RNA, 708 nt
Organism: Cyanistes caeruleus (blue tit)
Lineage: Eukaryota; Metazoa; Chordata; Aves; Passeriformes; Paridae
Source: RefSeq, a predicted model, not a curated record
CAUGGUCAUCUCGUAGGCCCGGAUCCGCUUCUCGCAGGAGGCGCACAGCCCAUCCUGGCCAAAGAGCCUGCAACGACACAGAAAAGAGGAAGGAGUUGGGAUAAGCUGUGGUCUGAGGCUCUCCUGCCUUUUGUCUGUGCCUCCACAUUUUGUCAAACAUUUCUGUAUCCAUGAAGGCUCUCCUGGUCCAUGAAGUCACUCCUGAUGGGUUUCAGAAGGACACAUUCUAGGACCUCCGAGAUACCUAUGAGAAAGAUUUAUCUGUGGACUGUUUUUUCAUCCUCAUGGAGAAACCCUCUGAGGUCCUUAUGAUAUUAUCUAUGAAAAGGAGCCUUUGCUGAAUGCCCUGCAGAGUUUACUGAGUCAAAUCAGUAAUAAAGAGGCAUGAAUAUGUUGAUAUUUUAUAUAUAUUUGAUAUAUUGAUAUUUUAUCCUUAAAAGGGCCGAAUGCUACACAUCUCCUGCACGUGCUGUGCCUGAUCUAAGUCAUAUUCUGAACCAGAAAAAGGAUGUCUGGUAAAUUAAGAGACCUUUAAGGAGAAAGAACAUAAUUCCUUUUGUCUACCAGGAGAUGUCACUGUUUACUUCUGCCCAGUGAAAGUAACGCUAAGGUUACACAAAGGUUGCCAAAUUUUUCAUUAAUGUGGGAAGAUAUUAUCUGUUGCAUUAUUAAAUAAAUAAAAACGUUGGAUUUCACUGCAAGAAAAGG